This 486-nucleotide ribosomal RNA is filed under the name uncultured bacterium. RNAcentral describes it as "bacterial SSU rRNA". It matches the Rfam family "Bacterial small subunit ribosomal RNA", at positions 771 to 1263 of the family's 1533-position model. The record is from RNAcentral.
AGCGAAUAGAUACCCGGGUAGUCCACGCCGUAAACGAUGGAUACUAGCUGUUCGGAGCAAUCUGAGUGGCUAAAGCGAAAAAAGUGAUAAGUAUCCCACCUGGGGAGUACGCACGCAAGUGUGAAACUCAAGGGAAUUGACGGGGGCCCGCACAAGCGGUGGAGCAUGUGGUUUAAUUCGAUGAUACGCGAGGAACCUUACCAGGGCUUAAAUGUAGAUUGACAGGACUGGAAACAGUUUUUCUUCGGACAAUUUACAAGGUGCUGCAUGGUUGUCGUCAGCUCGUGCCGUGAGGUGUCAGGUUAAGUCCUAUAACGAGCGCAACCCCUGUCGUUAGUUGCCAGCGAGUCAUGUCGGGAACUCUAACGAGACUGCCAGUGUAAACUGUGAGGAAGGUGGGGAUGACGUCAAAUCAUCACGGCCCUUACGUCCUGGGCCACACACGUGCUACAAUGGUAGGUACAGAGAGCAGCCACUGCGCGAGCA